UAAUGUCAUACUACAUUUUGUUCAAUUCAACUAACCACAUCUUAUUAAUGUAUAGUUUCUCCUGUGGUAUGCUAAUGCUUGGUUGCAUUAAGCAUUGUGCCCGUAAUGGUCCUGAUACUAGUUACUCUCUGGAGAAGAACUUGAAGAAGAGGUUGUUUUUGGAGGAUGCAAACAAUUCUUGCAACGAAUUAUUAGCAAAAUUUGAUGAAAUUCUGCCCAAGGAUCGAGUCCGGCCCAGAAGGACAUUGUCUUCUCAAAACACUUUGUAGUUGUGGUCAGUUAGGUAUUUUUAGGUGGUGGAAUUAUUAGUUAAUCUAAGGGAAAACUAUUGGGGUAUUUUUGGGGUGUGAAUUAGAAUAUUUAGGUGGUUAUUUGUGGCGGUGUGUUUAACCAAGUGGUUGGUGUUUAUGUGUACUUUGUUGUUGUAGACAAUGCAGGUUGCUUAGACUGUUUGUUGCUUAAUAAUUUGUGGAAUUAUUAGUUAAUCUAAGUGGUUGGUGUUUAUGUGUA
Chenopodium quinoa (quinoa) is the source of this 510-nucleotide long non-coding RNA. RefSeq lists it as uncharacterized. The record is from RefSeq and is a predicted model, not a curated record. The transcript has 2 exons. Lineage: Eukaryota; Viridiplantae; Streptophyta; Magnoliopsida; Caryophyllales; Amaranthaceae.